Molecule: ribosomal RNA, 852 nt
Filed under: Halomonas sp. L-17
Lineage: Bacteria; Pseudomonadati; Pseudomonadota; Gammaproteobacteria; Oceanospirillales; Halomonadaceae
Description: bacterial SSU rRNA
Rfam family: Bacterial small subunit ribosomal RNA
Source: RNAcentral
CUCAGAUUGAACGCUGGCGGCAGGCCUAACACAUGCAAGUCGAGCGGUAACAGGGGUAGCUUGCUACCCGCUGACGAGCGGCGGACGGGUGAGUAAUGCAUAGGAAUCUGCCCGAUAGUGGGGGAUAACCUGGGGAAACCCAGGCUAAUACCGCAUACGUCCUACGGGAGAAAGGGGGCUUCGGCUCUCGCUAUUGGAUGAGCCUAUGUCGGAUUAGCUAGUUGGUGAGGUAAUGGCUCACCAAGGCAACGAUCCGUAGCUGGUCUGAGAGGAUGAUCAGCCACAUCGGGACUGAGACACGGCCCGAACUCCUACGGGAGGCAGCAGUGGGGAAUAUUGGACAAUGGGCGAAAGCCUGAUCCAGCCAUGCCGCGUGUGUGAAGAAGGCCUUCGGGUUGUAAAGCACUUUCAGCGAGGAAGAACGCCUAGUGGUUAAUACCCAUUAGGAAAGACAUCACUCGCAGAAGAAGCACCGGCUAACUCCGUGCCAGCAGCCGCGGUAAUACGGAGGGUGCAAGCGUUAAUCGGAAUUACUGGGCGUAAAGCGCGCGUAGGUGGCUUGAUAAGCCGGUUGUGAAAGCCCCGGGCUCAACCUGGGAACGGCAUCCGGAACUGUCAAGCUAGAGUGCAGGAGAGGAAGGUAGAAUUCCCGGUGUAGCGGUGAAAUGCGUAGAGAUCGGGAGGAAUACCAGUGGCGAAGGCGGCCUUCUGGACUGACACUGACACUGAGGUGCGAAAGCGUGGGUAGCAAACAGGAUUAGAUACCCUGGUAGUCCACGCCGUAAACGAUGUCGACCAGCCGUUGGGUGCCUAGCGCACUUUGUGGCGAAGUUAACGCGAUAAGUCGACCGC